This 273-nucleotide unclassified non-coding RNA is filed under the name Hevea brasiliensis (rubber tree). The record is from RNAcentral. Lineage: Eukaryota; Viridiplantae; Streptophyta; Magnoliopsida; Malpighiales; Euphorbiaceae.
ACAGUCUUGCAUGAAUGGUUGCACACCAAGACACCGAGAAAUUGUCCCUUCUUAACCACCCACUUCUCUUCUAGCGUUGGAACAGGCUCCCUGUCUGUCCCUGUUUCAGUUUCAUCUGGUGGGUCUGGAAGACGGAUUGGAUUAUCAGUUUCCCAGUUAGGCUCGGCAUCCCACUUCGGCUCCGUAUCCCACUUCGGCUCAGAGUCCCAAAUUGGUCCUGGAUCAGACAUAGUUGAGGAUAUGUCUUCUUUAUCAUUCAGCGCUGUGGCUCCG